GGCUCCCUGAGUUUCAAGAAUGGGGAGUCGGGCCUGCCCGGUGAAUUUUUUUAACGGCCGCGGUACUCUGACCGUGCAAAGGUAGCAUAAUCAUUUGCCUUAUAAUUGAAGGCUUGUAUGAAUGGUUUGACAAGAAUGUGACUGUCUCUUUACAAUUAUUUAGAAUUUUAUUUAUAGGUGAAGAAGCCUAUAUUAUAAUGAUAGACAAGAAGACCCUAUCGAGCUUAAAAGAAGUCAGUAAAGUUAAAAUUAAUAUUAAUUAAAAAAUUAAUUACUGAAAAUUUUGGUUGGGGCGACAGAGGAACAAAUAAAGCUUCCUUUUAAUAAUAAAUAGCAAACAAGCAAUGAUCCAAAAACUUUGAUUAAAGAAAUUAGUUACCGUAGGGAUAACAGCAUUAUCUUUUUUGAGAGCUCUAAUCGAAAAAAAGGUUUGUGACCUCGAUGUUGGACCAGAAUAUCCUAAAGAUGCAGCCGUCUUUAAGGGUUGGUCUGUUCGACCAUUAAAAUUCUACGUGAUCUGAGUUCAGACCGGCGUGAGCCAGGUCAGUUUCUAUCUUCAUUUUCUAAAGUAAGCUUAGUACGAAAGGACCAGCUUAUAGCAAAUAGGUUGUUUAAAGUGAUUAGGUAUAAAGAAGAGUUAAGAAAAUAAAGUUAUUAAAUUAAAUAAAGAUCAGAUUAGCAAAGAUUAAUGCAAUUGACUUAGGAUCAAUAGACAUAGGUGAAAUUCCUUUAUUUGAUAUAUUUAAAAUUAUUUGAAAUAAAGGUGGCAGAUAAA
This 775-nucleotide ribosomal RNA is filed under the name Typhina grandis. RNAcentral's name for it is "partial 16S ribosomal RNA". The stretch from base 1 to 582 matches the Rfam family "Bacterial large subunit ribosomal RNA", at positions 1817 to 2925 of the family's 2925-position model. The record is from RNAcentral. Lineage: Eukaryota; Metazoa; Mollusca; Gastropoda; Neogastropoda; Muricidae.